AUGCAACGUAAGGAAGAUUACGUAGGUAUCGUCCUUCAAACUAUUCCCUUGAACAUCCAGUUCAGACGUACGUUAGUGGGUGAGAGAUGGACAGCCUGGAUGCACUUGGUUUGGAGAUUGAUUGAAGUUCGACUCUCCGACAUGCCGGACUCAACACAAUGGAAGUUAACUAAAAAUGGGAUAUUUACGGUGAAAUCCUUUUAUACGGAUCUGAUUAAUUCUGGCCCCCUCUCAAGGUCACUACAUAUAUGGAAGGUUAAGGUUCCUUUGUGGAUUAAAAUUUUUAUGUGGUUUGUCCACAAACAAGUAAUACUCACAAAUGACAACUUACUUAAGAGACGAUGGGUAGGCAACUCGCGGUGUUGUUUUUGUGCUCAGGAUGAGACAAUACAACAUUUAUUCCUUGAAUGCCCACUUGCCAAGUUAUUUUGGAGAACGAUUCAUAUAGCUUUUAAUAUCAAUCCUUCAGUAGAUAUUUCGUCUUUGUUUGGGACGUGGUUAGCUGGGGUUGAACAGAUCACGGCAGCACGUAUUCGGAUUGGAAUAUGUGCGUUACUAUAG
This 561-nucleotide ribosomal RNA is filed under the name Triticum aestivum (bread wheat). Its description in RNAcentral is "partial small subunit ribosomal RNA". Lineage: Eukaryota; Viridiplantae; Streptophyta; Magnoliopsida; Poales; Poaceae. The record is from RNAcentral.